RNAcentral lists this ribosomal RNA (263 nucleotides) under uncultured bacterium. RNAcentral describes it as "partial 16S ribosomal RNA". It matches the Rfam family "Bacterial small subunit ribosomal RNA", at positions 793 to 1055 of the family's 1533-position model. The record is from RNAcentral.
GUCCACGCCGUAAACGAUGUCGACUAGCCGUUGGGAUCCUUGAGAUCUUAGUGGCGCAGCUAACGCGAUAAGUCGACCGCCUGGGGAGUACGGCCGCAAGGUUAAAACUCAAAUGAAUUGACGGGGGCCCGCACAAGCGGUGGAGCAUGUGGUUUAAUUCGAAGCAACGCGAAGAACCUUACCUGGCCUUGACAUGCUGAGAACUUUCCAGAGAUGGAUUGGUGCCUUCGGGAACUCAGACACAGGUGCUGCAUGGCUGUCGU